AGAGUUUGAUCAUGGCUCAGAUUGAACGCUGGCGGCAUGCCUAACACAUGCAAGUCGAACGGCAGCGCGGGCUUCGGCCUGGCGGCGAGUGGCGGACGGGUGAGGAAUACAUAGGAAUCUGCCCAGUCGUGGGGGAUAACCCGGGGAAACCCGGACUAAUACCGCAUACGACGGUGACGUGAAAGCCGGGGACCUUCGGGCCUGGCGCGAUUGGAUGAGCCUAUGUCGGAUUAGCUAGUUGGCGGGGUAAAGGCCCACCAAGGCGACGAUCCGUAGCUGGUCUGAGAGGAUGAUCAGCCACACUGGGACUGAGACACGGCCCAGACUCCUACGGGAGGCAGCAGUGGGGAAUAUUGGACAAUGGGCGCAAGCCUGAUCCAGCAAUGCCGCGUGGGUGAAGAAGGCCUUCGGGUUGUAAAGCCCUUUUGUACGGGAAGAAAUCAUCCGGGUUAAUACCCUGGGUGGAUGACGGUACCGUAAGAAUAAGCACCGGCUAACUUCGUGCCAGCAGCCGCGGUAAUACGAAGGGUGCAAGCGUUAAUCGGAAUUACUGGGCGUAAAGCGUGCGUAGGUGGUUGUUCAAGUCUGUCGUGAAAGCCCUGGGCUCAACCUGGGAAUGGCGAUGGAAACUGGGCGACUGGAGUGCGGUAGAGGAUGGCGGAAUUCCCGGUGUAGCGGUGAAAUGCGUAGAGAUCGGGAGGAACAUCCGUGGCGAAAGCGGCCAUCUGGACCAGCACUGACACUGAGGCACGAAAGCGUGGGGAGCAAACAGGAUUAGAUACCCUGUAGUCCACGCCCUAAACGAUGCGAACUGGAUGUUGGUCUCAACUUGGAGAUCAGUGUCGAAGCUAACGCGUUAAGUUCGCCGCCUGGGGAGUACGGUCGCAGA
This 889-nucleotide ribosomal RNA is filed under the name uncultured bacterium. RNAcentral describes it as "bacterial SSU rRNA". It matches the Rfam family "Bacterial small subunit ribosomal RNA", at positions 8 to 893 of the family's 1533-position model. The record is from RNAcentral.